Molecule: ribosomal RNA, 301 nt
Filed under: uncultured bacterium
Lineage: Bacteria
Description: partial 16S ribosomal RNA
Rfam family: Bacterial small subunit ribosomal RNA
Source: RNAcentral
CAGUAGCCGCGGGAAUGCGAAGGGGGCUAGCGUUGUUCGGAUUUACUGGGCGUAAAGCGCACGUAGGCGGACUUUUAAGUCAGGGGUGAAAUCCCGGGGCUCAACCCCGGAACUGCCUUUGAUACUGGAAGUCUUGAGUAUGGUAGAGGUGAGUGGAAUUCCGAGUGUAGAGGUGAAAUUCGAGGAUAUUCGGAGGAACACCAGUGGCGAAGGCGGCUCACUGGACCAUUACUGACGCUGAGGUGCGAAAGCGUGGGGAGCAAACAGGAUUAGAUACCCCGGUAGUCCCUGUCUCUUAUAC